RNAcentral lists this non-coding RNA (30 nucleotides) under Mus musculus (house mouse). Lineage: Eukaryota; Metazoa; Chordata; Mammalia; Rodentia; Muridae. The record is from RNAcentral.
UACUCAUUGGUGUAUCUCUACUGGGAACCU